ACUUGCUGAUAUCCCAAGCUCGACCAAAAAGCUUGUGGAUAUCAGUUCACAGGAGGAGGACGUCCAGGAGGAUGUUUAUGAGACCGUUGACAUUGAGCCUGUCGACGGAGCACGCGAUAUUGACUUUACCGUGAGUCAGCAUUCUCCGGUUAAACCUCCUCCCGCAUACGUACAGAAGUUGGUUCGUACCGCACGUGGUCGAAUCGUCCGAAAGGGUCCACUGGUUCGCACCCCGUAUACAAAUCCACUCAGAGGGAGGGCGAAACGGCAACUCCCCACGAUUCCAUCCUCUACGGCAGACCGUGAGGAAUCUUUCCUCACAUGGUAUACCAGAGCUGCGCCUUCUGACACACAUGAUGU
This is a long non-coding RNA of Mangifera indica (mango), 360 nucleotides long. RefSeq lists it as uncharacterized. The record is from RefSeq and is a predicted model, not a curated record. NCBI's taxonomy places the organism in Eukaryota, Viridiplantae, Streptophyta, Magnoliopsida, Sapindales, Anacardiaceae. The transcript is spliced from 3 exons.